This 559-nucleotide ribosomal RNA is filed under the name Fusarium guttiforme. RNAcentral's name for it is "eukaryotic LSU rRNA". The stretch from base 179 to 332 matches the Rfam family "5.8S ribosomal RNA". The record is from RNAcentral. Lineage: Eukaryota; Fungi; Ascomycota; Sordariomycetes; Hypocreales; Nectriaceae.
UCCGUAGGUGAACCUGCGGAGGGAUCAUUACCGAGUUUACAACUCCCAAACCCCUGUGAACAUACCAAUUGUUGCCUCGGCGGAUCAGCCCGCUCCCGGUAAAACGGGACGGCCCGCCAGAGGACCCCUAAACUCUGUUUCUAUAUGUAACUUCUGAGUAAAACCAUAAAUAAAUCAAAACUUUCAACAACGGAUCUCUUGGUUCUGGCAUCGAUGAAGAACGCAGCAAAAUGCAAUAAGUAAUGUGAAUUGCAGAAUUCAGUGAAUCAUCGAAUCUUUGAACGCACAUUGCGCCCGCCAGUAUUCUGGCGGGCAUGCCUGUUCGAGCGUCAUUUCAACCCUCAAGCCCCCGGGUUUGGUGUUGGGGAUCGGCGAGCCCUUGCGGCAAGCCGGCCCCGAAAUCUAGUGGCGGUCUCGCUGCAGCUUCCAUUGCGUAGUAGUAAAACCCUCGCAACUGGUACGCGGCGCGGCCAAGCCGUUAAACCCCCAACUUCUGAAUGUUGACCUCGGAUCAGGUAGGAAUACCCGCUGAACUUAAGCAUAUCAAUAAGCGGAGGAA